This 433-nucleotide ribosomal RNA is filed under the name uncultured bacterium. Its description in RNAcentral is "partial 16S ribosomal RNA". It matches the Rfam family "Bacterial small subunit ribosomal RNA", at positions 29 to 507 of the family's 1533-position model. The record is from RNAcentral.
AACGAACGCUGGCGGCAUGCCUAACACAUGCAAGUCGAACGAAGCCUUCGGGCUUAGUGGCGCACGGGUGCGUAACGCGUGGGAAUCUGCCCCUUGCUUCGGAAUAACAGUUAGAAAUGACUGCUAAUACCGGAUGAAGUCUUCGGACCAAAGAUUUAUCGGCAAGGGAUGAGCCCGCGUAGGAUUAGGUAGUUGGUGGGGUAAAGGCCUACCAAGCCGACGAUCCUUAGCUGGUCUGAGAGGAUGAUCAGCCACACUGGGACUGAGACACGGCCCAGACUCCUACGGGAGGCAGCAGUGGGGAAUAUUGGACAGUGGACGCAAGUCUGAUCCAGCAAUGCCGCGUGAGUGAUGAAGGCCUUAGGGUUGUAAAGCUCUUUUACCAGGGAUGAUAAUGACAGUACCUGGAGAAUAAGCUCCGGCUAACUCCGUG